CCUGAGUAACUGCCACAGGUAGAGAAGGCAAAGAUGGCGAAGAACUGGAGGAGGAAGAGGAGGAAGAGGAGAAAUGAUAAAAUGUGAAAGCUGAGUGCAGUGACAUUAGUCAGAGAGCAGAGGGAGCUGAGACCAGAUCAGACCUAAGUCCACAGUCUGAGAGCUGCAUUUGACAAAGGUGCGUAGGUCAAGGAUGUGUUGAAGAUGUUGGUGACCCAGCCAGAGAUGCCAUCUGGUCCAGCAGCUCUCCUGCUUUUUGCCCCCACAGUAAAAGUACUUCCUGUGAAGUAUCACAGUAAAAGUACUUCCUGCACUUACAAUAUCACAGUAA
Molecule: long non-coding RNA, 331 nt
Organism: Seriola aureovittata
Lineage: Eukaryota; Metazoa; Chordata; Actinopteri; Carangiformes; Carangidae
Exons: 3
Source: RefSeq, a predicted model, not a curated record